GUGUUCGGUUAAGUCCGUUAACGAGCGCAACCCAUGUCGUUAGUUAUAAUGUCUAACGAGACUGCCUAGGUUAAUUAGGAGGAAGGUGUGGAUGACGUCAAAUCAGCAUGGCCCUUAUGCCUAGGGCCACACACAUGAUACAAUGGUCGGUACAAAAAGCAGCAAUAUGGUAACAUAGAGCUAAUCUAAAAAGCCGAUCUCAGUCCGGAUUGAGGUCUGAAACUCGACCUCAUGAAGUUGGAAUUGCUAGUAAUCGUGAAUCAGAUAUGUCACGGUGAAUAUGUUCCUGGGUCUU
RNAcentral lists this ribosomal RNA (295 nucleotides) under uncultured bacterium. Its description in RNAcentral is "partial 16S ribosomal RNA". It matches the Rfam family "Bacterial small subunit ribosomal RNA", at positions 1072 to 1382 of the family's 1533-position model. The record is from RNAcentral.